Molecule: transfer RNA, 73 nt
Filed under: bacterium
Lineage: Bacteria
Description: tRNA-Val
Rfam family: tRNA
About the family: Transfer RNA (tRNA) molecules are approximately 80 nucleotides in length. Their secondary structure includes four short double-helical elements and three loops (D, anti-codon, and T loops).
Source: RNAcentral
GGUCGGUUAGCGCAGUUGGUAGCGCACCUCGUUUACAUCGAGGGGGUCACAAGUUCGAGUCUUGUACCGACCA